Molecule: non-coding RNA, 102 nt
Organism: Cucumis sativus (cucumber)
Lineage: Eukaryota; Viridiplantae; Streptophyta; Magnoliopsida; Cucurbitales; Cucurbitaceae
Source: Rfam
GUCCCUUCAGAGACAUUAGACAAAAUUGGAACGAUACAGAAAACAUAGCAUCGCCACUGCAUAAGGAUGACACACGUAUAUCGAGAAAUGAUCCAAAAAAAA